AGGAGGAACAACCCCAGUGGCGGGGCCAGCUCUGGAGCCCUGGAUUCAGCCCCCGCAGGAACUCCGGAGCUCUCCGUCAGCAGGGCCUGGAGGCUCCGGGCGGGG
RNAcentral lists this microRNA precursor (105 nucleotides) under Canis lupus dingo (dingo). RNAcentral describes it as "mir-8834 microRNA precursor family". It matches the Rfam family "mir-8834 microRNA precursor family". The record is from Rfam by way of RNAcentral. Lineage: Eukaryota; Metazoa; Chordata; Mammalia; Carnivora; Canidae.